UCCCUGGUGGCUUGAGGGUAAAGCGUCUGCCUGCAAUGCAGGAGACCCAGGUUUGAUCCUCUGGUCGGGAA
RNAcentral lists this transfer RNA (71 nucleotides) under Bos taurus (domestic cattle). It matches the Rfam family "tRNA". From Rfam's summary of the family: Transfer RNA (tRNA) molecules are approximately 80 nucleotides in length. Their secondary structure includes four short double-helical elements and three loops (D, anti-codon, and T loops). Further hydrogen bonds mediate the characteristic L-shaped molecular structure. tRNAs have two regions of fundamental functional importance: the anti-codon, which is responsible for specific mRNA codon recognition, and the 3' end, to which the tRNAs corresponding amino acid is attached (by aminoacyl-tRNA synthetases). tRNAs cope with the degeneracy of the genetic code in two manners: having more than one tRNA (with a specific anti-codon) for a particular amino acid; and 'wobble' base-pairing, i.e. permitting non-standard base-pairing at the 3rd anti-codon position. The record is from Rfam by way of RNAcentral. Lineage: Eukaryota; Metazoa; Chordata; Mammalia; Artiodactyla; Bovidae. RNAcentral also lists the same sequence under 1 other name.